GAGGGAGUAACAAGGAUAGAGAUAACACAAGAAACGACUAUUCAUCUUGUAAAAAAUGUAGCAAUGCUGUGAAAAUUUUUGAGUUUUCACUUAGGUUCCUUUUUUUUUUCUUAACGCAACUAGCUCACCAAAACUAGACAAAUAUCGAUCAAAACUUUUGUAGUGCAGCCCUCAAUGAAAAGCUAAUGACCAGAUGGAAAAUUGUGACAUGUAGGGUGGUGUGAGAUCUUGACUAAUAAGAAAUCAUUCUAUACAUUACUUUCUUCAUCCCAAAUUAUAGAUCGUUGUGCCUUUUCUAUAUUUAUAAAAUUUGCUACGCAUUUAGAUAUAUAAGUAAAAACUCUGAAUCUAGAAAAAACAAAACGACUUAUAAUUUGGG
This 379-nucleotide long non-coding RNA is filed under the name Setaria viridis. Its description in RNAcentral is "long non-coding RNA (SVIR_LNC003479)". The record is from RNAcentral. Lineage: Eukaryota; Viridiplantae; Streptophyta; Magnoliopsida; Poales; Poaceae.